GUGCUGCACUAGUUAAGCUGUAGCGCCAGAACAAUUGCUUGAACAUAACUGGGGCUUCCAAGCCUCUACUGGCAGCCCUUUUAACCACCAGCAACAUGG
RNAcentral lists this small nucleolar RNA (99 nucleotides) under Echinops telfairi (small Madagascar hedgehog). Lineage: Eukaryota; Metazoa; Chordata; Mammalia; Afrosoricida; Tenrecidae. The record is from RNAcentral.